RNAcentral lists this ribosomal RNA (497 nucleotides) under uncultured bacterium. RNAcentral describes it as "partial 16S ribosomal RNA". It matches the Rfam family "Bacterial small subunit ribosomal RNA", at positions 28 to 507 of the family's 1533-position model. The record is from RNAcentral.
GAUGAACGCUGGCGGCGUGCCUAAUACAUGCAAGUCGAGCGAACGGACGAGAAGCUUGCUUCUUUGAUGUUAGCGGCGGACGGGUGAGUAACACGUGGAUCACCUGCCUAUAUGACUGGGAUAACUUCGGGAAACCGUAGCUAAUACUGGAUAAUAUUUUGAACCGCGUGGUUCAAAAGUGAAAGACGGUCUUGCUGUCUCAUAUAGCUGGUUUCGCGCUGCAUUAGCUAGUUGGUAGGGUACCGGCUUACCAAGGCUACGAUGCAUAGCCGACCUGAGAGGGGGAUCGGCCACACUGGAACUGAGACACGGUCCAGACUCCUACGGGAGGCAGCAGUAGGGAAUAUUACGCAAUGGGCGAAAGCCUGACGCAGCAACGCCGCGUGAGUGAUGAAGGUCUUCGGAUCGUAAAACUCUGUUGUUAGGGAAGAACAGAUGUGUAAGUAACUGUGCACAUCGUGACGGUACCUAAUCAAAAAGCCACGGCUAACUACGUG